Triticum dicoccoides is the source of this 2239-nucleotide long non-coding RNA. RefSeq lists it as uncharacterized. Lineage: Eukaryota; Viridiplantae; Streptophyta; Magnoliopsida; Poales; Poaceae. The record is from RefSeq and is a predicted model, not a curated record. The transcript has 3 exons.
UUGAAGGACCAGGGGAGGGCCAAGGGGCCAGCGGUGUGGGGUGGAGCAGCGAGGCCGGUGACCCAGGCGGCGGACGCCUCACGGGGUGGAGGAGAGACUGGCGACAAGGAAGGAGCAGAAUCCUCAUGGAGCGGCAGGGAAGGUGAAGUCCCGACGGCUGAAGAUGGUGCGCACGGAGGAGCUCGGAUGAUGUCAAGGACGUUUAGCAGGACUGACUUAAGAUCGAACCCCUGACAGAGUUUAAGCAUGGUCCCGGUAGUUAUGCCUCAAUCCAUUCCAUAACAAAAUGCAUAUAUGUCCUGAAGGUAGGAUUUCACCUUCAGAUUGUCAUCAAGUUCGUCAAAUUUAUCGUUCCAUGCUGGAACAGUGUACUUUCACGAGUAUUUUUCUACUGAGUACAUAUAAUACUUUCACACCUAUGUUGUAUUAUAUUCCAACUCUCCAAGUACCUUGUGCUUUUGUUCUUGGAUUCUUUCUAAAUGCUCCACAAGUCCUGCACUAAUUUUGUCAACAAAAUAAUUAAGUGAAACAUGGCUCUGAGCUAUUGUCAUAUGGUACCUGUAUGGGCUCUAAUUGAGUUUGGCGGUCAUAUUUUCUUUAACUGUUGGUACAAGUCUUAAGUUGUGCUACUUUAGAACUUUCUGAAAUACAAACAGUAGCCAUAGUUCCAUAUGCAUUUCUUUGAUUGUAAUUUCUUGUUGGUACCUUAGCAAGCAAACUGGUCCGUUUCUAUCUUACCUGUUGUCAUCAAACUGGUGCCACAAAUCCAAUGGAUUUUGUUUCUGUUAAAUCAUAUUACGUCCAGAAAUGUGAGCUUAUAUCCGCUGCAUCUUUAGGGAAGCCAUUUUUUACGCUGCAAAUAAUGUGUGUGCUUAUCCCAUUAACUUGAGUGUGUUAUUACAAGUUGCAGGAGCAUGAAUGGUCCACAUCUCAGCUGGCUGUUGUUUCUGUAAGAAAUUACUUUCUUCAUUACGCAUUGCUCGUGAUUAUUCUGUCUUGAAUAAACAUAUGGUGUGGCACUUUUCGUAUAAUGAUUUUAUAUCUUUCUGGUCCCAAAUCAUGCCGUUGAUUUACUUUCGUUUUAUUUUAUUACUUUUGAUCAUUUUGGCUCUGAAAAGCAAUAGUACAGUAUAUCCAUGGAGUAUAAUAGAGUUGUUUGUUUGUUUGUUCUAUCAAGCCAGUUUUAUUCUAUUUGCAUGAGCAUAUACCAAACUUUUUUCAUGCUCGCUCAUGAACAAGAUGAGGGCACUGGUUAUGUAUUUCCAAACAAGGUUUUGAUUGAGAUAGGUAUUACUGAUUUCUUUGGAUUGCUAUGCUCCAAAACUUGAUGUAUUGUCUAGGCUAACUCUCUUUUUUUAAUUCAAAAACAAAGAAGAUUCCUACAACUACUGCAGAUUUGCAAAGAAUCGUGAAAUCAGAAUAUCCAUGUAUCAAAAGCAAAAAAGAUGCCUACAACUACUAUACAGGAAUGAUGUUCUAUAUUGCUGCCACACGAGAAUAUAUAUCGUAGUGCUCUCAAUAUAAAUUAAAAUGUUACUAGGGUUCUUGGUUAAUGCAUUGUUUUUUUCCUUUCCCAUCCAGAAUGAUAUUUGAUUGAAGAUAUGGAAUUAGUAUGAGAUCACUUUAGGGGGUUUAAACACUUGGAUAAGAUUAAACACAUGUUGUACCGAAUGAUAAUGGUACACCAUUUGGCGAUGGGUUCUCUAAAAAACUUAAAAUUCCACUAGAUAUUAUUUAGAUAUAAUGGAAAAGGGAUCAGAAAUGCGGUUUGUAUGACUGAAAACAUCCUUAACAUAUGGUUGUUCAUUAUACUCUGUGGUAGUGAGAUCGGUUAGUAAUGUUACACAUAAUAUAUAUUUUCCAGUUGUGUCCCUCACUCUCUUAAGCACGUUUCUGUUGUAUACUGGUUAGUUGUCACAAUGCAUGUAUUUGAGGAUGUCGUCGGGUCUCCAUUGUUGUACAUUUGUCUUGCCACUUUGUUGUUCAAAUUAUUUUUUAGGAAACUAUUUCAACUCUUCUGAAGGCCAUUUGUUCUUAAUGUUUUUCUUUAUAAGUAUCUCCAUAAUGGCACUUUCCACCUGGAAAAAGCAUCAAGGUCAGCGAUCCAGUUUUUGUUCUAUAGGCAUCUCUUCUUUGAAUGAGGCAUGGUAGCAGAUGAUGUAUCUGUUUUAUGUGUGUUAGAAGAGGCAUCCGGUUGCUUGACUUUGUACGCACAUUCUGAUUCUUUAAUCUUAGUUGU